AAAUAUUCCGUGACCGUAUGCAGAGGUUGAAGUCGCUGUGACGUCGAGUCGGAUGGGGGUAGGCUAAUUAGAUUGCCUCAGGGCGUUUAUGAUCCCGAUACCCUAUAGGACUCGGCCAAGAAAAGCCAGCGGCGGACGACGUAUACGACCGUACUAAAACCGACACAGGUAGGCGAGAUGAGUAUUCUAAGGCGCUCGAGAGAACUCUCGUGAAGGAACUCUGCAAAUUGGCCCCGUAACUUCGUGAUAAGGGGCGCCCUACUCCGGUAGGGCCGCAGUGAAAAGGGUCUAGCGACUGUUUACUAAAAACACAGGUCUGUGCCAAGGCGUAAGCCUAAGUAUACAGACUGACGCCUGCCCGGUGCUGGUAAGUUAAGGGAGAGGGUUAGCCGUAAGGUGAAGCUCGCAACCGAAGCUCCAGUAAACGGCGGCCGUAACUAUGACGGUCCUAAGGUAGCGAAGUUCCUUGUCGGGUAAGUUCCGACCUGCAUGAAUGGCGUAACGACUGGACCACUGUCUCCACGAGAGACUCGGUGAAACUGUAGUUGUCGUGAAGAUGCGACAUACCCGCAGCUAGACGGAAAGACCCCGUGAACCUUAACUGCAGCUUGGUAUUGGGUUUAGGCCCAGCAUGCGUAGCGUAGGUGGGACUCUAUGAAGCGAUACUUUCGGGUGUCGUGGAGAGGCCGAUGAAACACCACCCUUGCUGUGCUUGAAUUCUAACCUCGGCCGGUGAAACCCGGCGAGGGACCGUGCUAAGUGGGCAGUUUGAUUGGGGCGAUCUCCUCCCAAAGAGUAACGGAGGAGUCCAAAGGUACCCUCAGCCCGGUUGGCAAUCGGGCGUCGAGCGUAAAGGUAGAAGGGUGCUUGACUGCGAGGGAGAUAUCCCGAGCAGGUAGGAAAGUAGGGCUUAGUGAUCCGGUGGUUCCGAAUGGAAGGGCCAUCGCUCAACAGAUAAAAGGUACUCCGGGGAUAACAGGCUUAUCUCCUCUGAGCGUUCAUAGCGGCGAGGAGGUUUGGCACCUCGAUGUCGGCUCAUCACAUCCUGGGGGUGGAGAAGCUCCCAAGGGUUCGGCUGUUCGCCGAUGAAAGUGGUACGUGAGCUGGGUUUAGACCGUCGUGAGACAGGUCGGUCCCUAUCUGCUGUGGGCGUUGGAUGUUUGAGAGGCUUUCUCCCUAGUACGAGAGGACUGGGAGGGACGCACCUCUGGUGUACCAGUUAUGACGCUAGUUGUAUCGCUGGGUAGCCACGUGCGGAAUGGAUAAACGCUGAAGGCAUAUAAGCGUGAAACUUCCCUCGAGAUAAGACAUCCUGGCAAGAAGGCUCCUGGAAGACUACCAGGUCGAUAGGCCGGGUGUGUAAGUGCAGCAAUGCACUCAGCUAACCGGUACUAAUAGCCGAACGCUUGGCCAC
RNAcentral lists this ribosomal RNA (1414 nucleotides) under metagenome. Its description in RNAcentral is "bacterial LSU rRNA". It matches the Rfam family "Bacterial large subunit ribosomal RNA", at positions 1431 to 2925 of the family's 2925-position model. The record is from RNAcentral.